Molecule: unclassified non-coding RNA, 334 nt
Filed under: soil metagenome
Description: partial contains 5.8S ribosomal RNA, internal transcribed spacer 2, and large subunit ribosomal RNA
Rfam family: 5.8S ribosomal RNA (bases 1-120)
Source: RNAcentral
GAUGAAGAACGUAGUGAAAUGCGAUACGUAAUGUGAAUUGCAGAAUUCAGUGAAUCAUCGAAUCUUUGAACGCACAUUGCGCCUGCCAGCACUCUGGCAGGCAUGCCUGUUCGAGCGUCAUUUCAACCAUCAAGCCCUAGGCUUGCGUUGGAGCCCUGCGGCUGCCGCAGGCCCCUAAAAGCAGUGGCGGGCUCGCUAUCACACCGAGUGCAGUAGAUUACUCUUCGCUCAGGGCGUGUGGCGGGUUCCAGCCGUGAAACCCCCUACUUCUCAAGGUUGACCUCGGAUCAGGUAGGAAUACCCGCUGAACUUAAGCAUAUCAAUAAGCGGAGGA